Non-coding RNA from Meleagris gallopavo (turkey), 1474 nucleotides. The record is from RefSeq and is a predicted model, not a curated record. Lineage: Eukaryota; Metazoa; Chordata; Aves; Galliformes; Phasianidae.
CAGCCCAUAGAUCAUCUUUGUGGGCCUCCUCUGGACCUCCUCCGACAGCUCUGCAUCCUUCCUGUGUUGGGAGCCUCAGGAACAGUUUUAAGGGAAGUGACAUUUGUGUCUACAGCAAAUAUUGUUUUGUAGAGAGAGCUGACCUUGGUAGUUUAUCUUGCUUUUGCAAGAGCUUGUUUUGAAAGCAGGUGUUUUACUUGGGUUUUGUAUCACGCAUUGGCCGCAGGGGUACAGUGUGCAAGUGGAAAAAUCCCUGCAGACCCUGGGGAGAAUAAAGCAUGAAAGAAGCUGCGGUGAGGAAGAGAGGGAAAGUGCACUUUGAAGCAAGGGAUGCCCUGCUGGCACUAUCUAUCGAAUCCACUGCUGGCAUGUUCGUUCUUUCCCCUUUUCAGCGGUUUGUUGUCUCUCAAGGAUCAGUUAGAUCUUCUACCUGGGGUAUUGCAUCCAUGCACCAUGAUGAAUAUCAACUGAGAACAAUCAUCUAUAUCUCAUACAAGUAGUGGAGGGGAAGUUAUCACUAUGGGAAAUUCUGGAACAGUCUGAAGAACAGAAGAAAAACUCCCUUUAUUCAAGAACAGAUGGACAAGGCAGAUCAGGCCAUGGUACUGUUAGGAGACUUCAGCUACACUGAUGUCUGCUGGAAAAGCAGUAAUGUAAGCUGCAAGCAGUCUGGGAGACUCCUGGAGCAUGAUGAAGAUAACUUCCUACUCCAGAUGAUAGAACGCCCAACUAGAGGAGAUGCAUUCCUGAACUUGUUUCUCAGCAAUGCAGAGAAACUUACUGGAGAGCCCUGGUUCCUCGUUGGCUGAGUACUGCAGAUUCACACUCUUUUGUGAUGCUCCACUAGUCAUACAAAUACCAAGUAAGCACAAAUCUUUGCCACCCAGACACAAAUAUCUUAAUUGAUUAAUUGCCUUCUAACAAUUGCUUUCUUAACAAACAUUUGGUCAUAACUUUUCGAUGUCUGUUUUACAGCAAAAACAUAAACAUAGCCUCUUAAUCGUUUAAUAAUCCCCCCUAACACUUGUGCCCCUUUACACUGGGUCAUUGUUCUGGUCAUUUAUCUGUCCUUGCAUAGAGACAAGCUUGAAAGGAGGAUAGAGGGGAGUAUCUUGGAGCCUGCACAUGACAUCCUCACAUUCCCACAGAGUGGGACAGCUCUGCUUUGUGUAAAGGUCCUGACUCCUUGAAGGUUUGUUAAAUAUAUUUCACUUUUGCCGGUCGAAUGAACAACCUUUCAGUAUGUUUCCUAGUUCAGAACACUAUACCCACAUUGUUUAGAACAUUUAAAAUCAAUUGCAUCUUUGUGAGAAAGUAUUUUUUAGGUAAUUCGGAAACUAUGUUUCUAUGCUACUAUGUCCUACCAUAUUCUACUAAUAUGUAUAUGGUUUUCUUACCUUCCACAUCAGCUAAUUCUAAAGAUAUGUUACAGCUUAAUUCUUUAGAUCAGUUGCCCCUUUUCAAUGAUCAAUGC